Cydia strobilella is the source of this 186-nucleotide long non-coding RNA. RefSeq lists it as uncharacterized. The transcript is spliced from 3 exons. The record is from RefSeq and is a predicted model, not a curated record. Lineage: Eukaryota; Metazoa; Arthropoda; Insecta; Lepidoptera; Tortricidae.
AUAUUACGAGCAUAACAUGUUCUGCUAAGGGGGAUAGAGAACAAUUCCUUUCUGCGACACUGAAGUAUACGGGCACGAGGGGCCGAGAUAAUCCAUUUCAAGUAAGGAAGGGAUUUCUAAUUUUGAAUUUAUAUUUUAUAUAGUAAAACAGAAUCUGCGCAAUUACGCCAAUUGCCGAGUGACUGC